This 464-nucleotide ribosomal RNA is filed under the name uncultured bacterium. RNAcentral describes it as "bacterial SSU rRNA". It matches the Rfam family "Bacterial small subunit ribosomal RNA", at positions 28 to 489 of the family's 1533-position model. The record is from RNAcentral.
GACGAACGCUGGCGGCGUGCCUAACACAUGCAAGUCGAACGGAACUGUUUUGAAAGAUUUCUUCGGAAUGAAUUUGAUUUAGUUUAGUGGCGGACGGGUGAGUAACGCGUGAGUAACCUGCCUUCAAGAGGGGGAUAACAUUCUGAAAAGAAUGCUAAUACCGCAUGAUAUAUCGGAACCACAUGGUUUUGAUAUCAAAGAUUUUAUCGCUUGAAGAUGGACUCGCGUCCGAUUAGUUAGUUGGUGAGGUAACGGCUCACCAAGACCGCGAUCGGUAGCCGGACUGAGAGGUUGAACGGCCACAUUGGGACUGAGACACGGCCCAGACUCCUACGGGAGGCAGCAGUGGGGGAUAUUGCGCAAUGGGGGCAACCCUGACGCAGCAACGCCGCGUGAAGGAUGAAGGUUUUCGGAUUGUAAACUUCUUUUAUUAAGGACGAAAAAUGACGGUACUUAAUGAAUAA